AGAAAAUGAGACCCAGAAGACCCAAAUCACAAAUCAAAAGGACCUCACAGAAGAUUCUACAAUUGAGAUUAUUUAUCCUGGGAUGCCCACUGGAUCCAAAGAGAGAAACUCUAUAGAAUUAUGAUCUAGGUUUGACUGACUCCUGGCAAGAAGCCCUACCCGCCAGCCAAUUUGGAUGAGGUCACAGGGGUCAUCCAUCUUUCCUUCUAUGUGACUGGUUUGCUCUUGCAUAUCAUGUUUUCCGCUCUUAUGCUCCAGAUCCAUCAUGAGAAGAACAUGCCCUGGAUUCCUGCUAUCCCUUUAGCCAUGGCUCCAAAAUUAACACACACAAGGAAGACCUGAGGUCAAUCCACAGCCUGGAUUCAAGUCACCUAAUACAUAGGAGAAUCAGAGCUACCCAGCCACACUCAAUCUACGUUAACUGAACCUCAGCUGACCUGCAGAUUUAUGAGUAUGAGA
This 459-nucleotide long non-coding RNA is filed under the name Homo sapiens (human). RNAcentral's name for it is "HSALNT0310869". Lineage: Eukaryota; Metazoa; Chordata; Mammalia; Primates; Hominidae. The record is from RNAcentral.